CAGGAGGAGGAGGAGGCCAGGGCCUGGUCGGCGCUUUGCGUGGCGGCAGGCGGAGCUUGCGCUUUUUUGCGAGGGGUGAGCCCCAGGAGCUUUACCAAGAGGGAGCCUCGCUGCUUCUGAAGUUUGGAUAAGGAGGCACGUGUAUGACUGCGCUUGCUCCAGGGCUCUGAUGUGUCGGACACGCGCAUGACCACGCAGGUCCCUGCGGAGAGGAGG
Nothoprocta perdicaria is the source of this 216-nucleotide long non-coding RNA. RefSeq lists it as uncharacterized. The record is from RefSeq and is a predicted model, not a curated record. Lineage: Eukaryota; Metazoa; Chordata; Aves; Tinamiformes; Tinamidae. The transcript is spliced from 2 exons.